AGUGGCGGACGGGUGAGUAACACGUAAGAAUUUGCCUUUAGGAGGGGGACAACAACUAGAAAUGGUUGCUAAUACCCCAUAUGCUUUCGAGUGAAAUGGAUUUUUCCGCCUAGAGAGAAGCUUGCGGCUGAUUAGCUUGUUGGUGAGGUAAUGGCUCACCAAGGCGACGAUCAGUAUCUGGUUUGAGAGGACGAUCAGACACACUGGAACUGAGACACGGUCCAGACUCCUACGGGAGGCAGCAGUGGGGAAUUUUCCGCAAUGGGCGAAAGCCUGACGGAGCAAUACCGCGUGAGGGAUGACGGCCUAUGGGUUGUAAACCUCUUUUUUCAGGGAGGAAUCAAUGACGUGUACCUGAAGAAUAAGCAUCGGCUAACUCCGUGCCAGCAGCCGCGGUAAGACGGGGGAUGCAAGUGUUAUCCGGAAUCACUGGGCGUAAAGCGUCUGUAGGUGGUCCAAUAAGUCAACUGUUAAAUCUUGAGGCUCAACCUCAAAAUCGCAGUCGAAACUAUUAGACUAGAGUAUAGUAGGGGUAAAGGGAAUUUCCAGUGGAGCGGUGAAAUGCGUAGAGAUUGGAAAGAACACCGAUGGCGAAGGCACUUUACUGGGCUAUUACUAACACUCAGAGACGAAAGCUAGGGUAGCAAAUGGGAUUAGAUACCCCAGUAGUCCUAGCCGUAAACAAUGGAAACUAGAUGUU
RNAcentral lists this ribosomal RNA (700 nucleotides) under uncultured bacterium. RNAcentral describes it as "bacterial SSU rRNA". It matches the Rfam family "Bacterial small subunit ribosomal RNA", at positions 94 to 824 of the family's 1533-position model. The record is from RNAcentral.